RNAcentral lists this ribosomal RNA (253 nucleotides) under uncultured bacterium. Its description in RNAcentral is "partial 16S ribosomal RNA". It matches the Rfam family "Bacterial small subunit ribosomal RNA", at positions 524 to 776 of the family's 1533-position model. The record is from RNAcentral.
UACAGAGGUCCCAAGCGUUGUUCGGAUUCACUGGGCGUAAAGGGUGUGUAGGCGGUUGGGUAAGUCUGACGUGAAAUCUCCGGGCCUAACCCGGAAACUGCGUUGGAUACUAUCCGGCUAGAGGAAUGGAGGGGAGACUGGAAUACUUGGUGUAGCAGUGAAAUGCGUAGAUAUCAAGUGGAACACCAGUGGCGAAGGCGAGUCUCUGGACAUUUCCUGACGCUGAGGCGCGAAAGCUAGGGGAGCAAACAGG